This 257-nucleotide ribosomal RNA is filed under the name uncultured bacterium. RNAcentral's name for it is "partial 16S ribosomal RNA". It matches the Rfam family "Bacterial small subunit ribosomal RNA", at positions 1243 to 1500 of the family's 1533-position model. The record is from RNAcentral.
AGGGAGACGAAACAGUGAUGUGGAGUAAAACUUAUAAAAGCGACCUCAGUUCGGAUUGAAGGCUGAAAUUCGCCUUCAUGAAGUCGGAAUUGCUAGUAAUGGCAGGUCAGCAUACUGCCGUGAAUACGUUCCCGGGCCUUGUACACACCGCCCGUCACACCAUGAGAGUUGGAGAUACCCGAAGCCUAUGAGCUAACUUUUAGAGGCAGUAGUCGAAGGUAGAAUCAAUGAUUGGGGUGAAGUCGUAACAAGGUACC